Molecule: long non-coding RNA, 908 nt
Organism: Bos taurus (domestic cattle)
Lineage: Eukaryota; Metazoa; Chordata; Mammalia; Artiodactyla; Bovidae
Source: Ensembl
UCUUGUACCUGCCAGUCCUUCCAGAGAACAGUAACUUUGUCCUGAGGAGGAAGAGAUCAGCCUGGGAGGGACUUGUGCUUAUGACCCCCAGUGCAGUCUGGGUGCCAAACCCUUCCUCCUGACACCCGGGAAAAGGUCUGCAAAGAUGGUAAAGGCCCCUUCUGUCUGCACCUAGUCCUCCCCAGCACGCGCUCAGGGGUCAUCCUGGGCUUUCUAACAGCAUGGCAGCUGAGUUCCAGAAGGCAGCAUUUCCAGAAGUAGAGCCCUGCUGUGCAAGCACUUAUCUAGUCGCUUCAUGUUUGUUAAUAUCUCACAAGGGAGUCACACGACCAAACCCAGAUCAAUGAGAGAGAGGACUUCAAAAGGUGUUCACAUUUACCAGCAUACUCUAGAGUAUAUUGGUAGACACUCCAUAAAUACUUGUUGACUGACAAAUGAUGAAUGUCGUUAACUGCAAGAAAAGCUCUGUCGGAUGGGCCUUGCAGGGAGAGCUGAAGGUUGCUCCAUGAAGAAAGUAGAAGCCUGAAAUUCGGAAAGGUGAUUGAACACCAAAUACAGAUGAGUGGAUUUUAGUGAAUUUAACUAUUUCCUUCCCUAGUGAUUUCAAAACCAGAAAAAUUGAAGCAAGAAAUAUCAGAAGAAACCAAAAUAUGCUCAGCUCAGCACUGUGUUCAACCUCAAGGAGGAGAUGAAAGAAAAGAGGGCCUUUGAGGUCACUGGAGAAACAAGAAAUAAAUACAGGAAAACUCCAAUAUCACAAAGUCUAAUAAUGUUUGUUUCAUUUUAUUUUAUUUACUUUUGGCUGCAUUGGAUCUCUGUUGCCGUGCACAGGCUUUCUCUAGCCGUCUCGACCGAGGGCUCCUCUCUAGCUGCAGUACGUGGGCUUCCUACCACAGUGGCUUCUCUUG